This 275-nucleotide ribosomal RNA is filed under the name uncultured bacterium. Its description in RNAcentral is "partial 16S ribosomal RNA". It matches the Rfam family "Bacterial small subunit ribosomal RNA", at positions 29 to 332 of the family's 1533-position model. The record is from RNAcentral.
AACGAACGCUGGCGGCAUGCCUAACACAUGCAAGUCGAACGCGUGUAGCAAUACACGAGUGGCGGACGGGUGAGUAACGCGUGGGAACCUGCCCAAUGGUAGGGAAUAACUGCGGGAAACUGCAGCUAAUACCCUAUGCUCCCUACGGGGAAGAUUAUCGCCAUUGGAGGGGCCCGCGUCGGAUUAGCUAGUUGGCGGGGUAACGGCCCACCAAGGCUACGAUCCGUAGCUGGUCUGAGAGGAUGAUCAGCCACACUGGGACUGAGAUACGGCCC